This 600-nucleotide ribosomal RNA is filed under the name uncultured bacterium. Its description in RNAcentral is "bacterial SSU rRNA". It matches the Rfam family "Bacterial small subunit ribosomal RNA", at positions 93 to 702 of the family's 1533-position model. The record is from RNAcentral.
GAGCGGCGGACGGGUGAGGAACACGUCGAUCUACUUGUCGUGGGGGGUAACGUAGGAAACUUACGCUAAUACCGCAUACGACCUACGGGUGAAGCGGCGGACCGCAAGGCGUCGCGCGAUUGGAUGAGCCGAUGUCCGAUUAGCUAUUGGCGGGGUAAAGGCCCACCAAGGCGACAUCGGUACUGGUCUGAAGGACGACCACCACACUGGAACUGAACACGGUCCAACUCCUACGGGAGGCAGCAGUGGGGAAUAUUGGACAAUGGGCGCAAGCCUGAUCCAGCCAUGCCGCGUGGGUGAAGAAGGCCUUCGGGUUGUAAAGCCCUUUUGUCCGGAAAGAAAAGCAUUCGGUUAAUACCCGGGUGUGAUGACGGUACCGGAAGAAUAAGCACCGGCUAACUUCGUGCCAGCAGCCGCGGGUAUACGAAAGGUGCAAGCGUUACUCGGAAUUACUGGGCGUAAAGCGUGCGUAGUGGGUUCGUUAAAUCUGUCGGUGAAAAUCCCCCCGGGGGCUCCAACCUGGGGAAUGGGCGAUGGGAUUACUUGGGCGGGCUAAAGUGGCGGGUAAAGGGAAGAGUGGGAAAUUCCCCGGGUUGUUUA